GCUACGGGAGGCAGCAGUGAGGAAUAUUGGUCAAUGGGAGGAAUCCUGAACCAGCCAUGCCGCGUGCAGGACGACGGCUCUACGAGUUGUAAACUGCUUUUGUACCGGGGUAAAAUGCCUUACGUGUAGGGUUUUGAAAGUCCGGUACGACUAAGGAUCGGCUAACUCCGUGCCAGCAGCAGCGGUAAUACGGAGGCUCCGAGCGUUAUCCGGAUUCAUUGGGUUUAACGGGUGCGUAGGUUGUUUUAUAAGUUAGCGGAGAAAUACCGAUGCUCAACAUCGGGGCUGCCGCUAAUACUGUAGGACGAGAGAUCGGAUGCAGCAGGCGGAAUGUGUAGUGUAGCGGUGAAAUGCAUAGAUAUUACACAGAACACCGAUUGCGAAGGCAGCUUGCUAGGCCGGAUCGGACACUGAUGCACGAAAGCGUGGGGAUCGAACAGGAUUAGAUACCCUGGUAGUC
This 460-nucleotide ribosomal RNA is filed under the name uncultured bacterium. Its description in RNAcentral is "partial 16S ribosomal RNA". It matches the Rfam family "Bacterial small subunit ribosomal RNA", at positions 338 to 795 of the family's 1533-position model. The record is from RNAcentral.